UAAAUGCAUUAUCUGGUAUGUG
This 22-nucleotide microRNA is filed under the name Euprymna scolopes. Its description in RNAcentral is "Esc-Mir-277_3p (mature (guide))". Lineage: Eukaryota; Metazoa; Mollusca; Cephalopoda; Sepiida; Sepiolidae. The record is from RNAcentral. RNAcentral also lists the same sequence under 1 other name.